CACCUACUCCCUCCGUCCCAAAAUUCUUGUCUUAGAUUUGUUUAGAUAUGAAUGUAUCUAGUCAAGUUUUAGUAUUUGGAUACAUGCAUUUCUAAAAAAAACUAAGACAAGAAUUUUGGGAUGGAGGGAGUAUUAA
Molecule: microRNA precursor, 136 nt
Filed under: Hordeum vulgare
Lineage: Eukaryota; Viridiplantae; Streptophyta; Magnoliopsida; Poales; Poaceae
Description: microRNA MIR1122
Rfam family: MIR1120/MIR1122 microRNA precursor family
Source: RNAcentral